Molecule: long non-coding RNA, 342 nt
Filed under: Sus scrofa (pig)
Lineage: Eukaryota; Metazoa; Chordata; Mammalia; Artiodactyla; Suidae
Description: lncRNA (ENSSSCG00030050329.1)
Source: RNAcentral
CUCAGAUAAACAGCAGCAGUGCGUAUGUUCUGUAAAUAGCCACAAGUGAGACCUGAAAUCAGCCUCUUUCAUCUGAAUCCAGGGGCAGCAAGCUGAGGGGUCUUUGGGCUGCUGGGCUGAUUCUAUAAGAACCCCUCUGGCUCGGAGCUGCAGGAGUCCCUCCCAUUUAUAUUGGUGUUCCUCUUUUACCAUUUUGGCUUCUUGCUCAUACCUAUUUUCUCUUAGUUCCAAUCUCAGCGAAUGGAAUAGAUUCUACAAAGUCAAGCAGAAUAUUCCCUCUUGUCUGGCUUCUCACAAGUAUGCUAAGCCCUCUAGCUCUCCUGUAUGCAAGCUCCACUGGCC